RNAcentral lists this transfer RNA (85 nucleotides) under Floydiella terrestris. RNAcentral's name for it is "tRNA-Leu". It matches the Rfam family "tRNA". Rfam says of the family: Transfer RNA (tRNA) molecules are approximately 80 nucleotides in length. Their secondary structure includes four short double-helical elements and three loops (D, anti-codon, and T loops). Further hydrogen bonds mediate the characteristic L-shaped molecular structure. tRNAs have two regions of fundamental functional importance: the anti-codon, which is responsible for specific mRNA codon recognition, and the 3' end, to which the tRNAs corresponding amino acid is attached (by aminoacyl-tRNA synthetases). tRNAs cope with the degeneracy of the genetic code in two manners: having more than one tRNA (with a specific anti-codon) for a particular amino acid; and 'wobble' base-pairing, i.e. permitting non-standard base-pairing at the 3rd anti-codon position. Lineage: Eukaryota; Viridiplantae; Chlorophyta; Chlorophyceae; Chaetopeltidales; Chaetopeltidaceae. RNAcentral also lists the same sequence under 1 other name. The record is from RNAcentral.
GGGGAUAUGGCGGAAUCGGUAGACGCUUCGGACUUAAAAUCCGUUGACUCUUUGAGUCGUGAGGGUUCAAGUCCCUCUAUCCCCA